This 995-nucleotide ribosomal RNA is filed under the name uncultured bacterium. RNAcentral's name for it is "bacterial SSU rRNA". It matches the Rfam family "Bacterial small subunit ribosomal RNA", at positions 355 to 1375 of the family's 1533-position model. The record is from RNAcentral. RNAcentral also lists the same sequence under 1 other name.
UGGGGAAUAUUGCACAAUGGGGGAAACCCUGAUGCAGCGACGCCGCGUGGAGGAAGAAGGUCUUCGGAUUGUAAACUCCUGUUGUUGAGGAAGAUAAUGACGGUACUCAACAAGGAAGUGACGGCUAACUACGUGCCAGCAGCCGCGGUAAAACGUAGGUCACAAGCGUUGUCCGGAAUUACUGGGUGUAAAGGGAGCGCAGGCGGGAAGACAAGUUGGAAGUGAAAUCUAUGGGCUCAACCCAUAAACUGCUUUCAAAACUGUUUUUCUUGAGUAGUGCAGAGGUAGGCGGAAUUCCCGGUGUAGCGGUGGAAUGCGUAGAUAUCGGGAGGAACACCAGUGGCGAAGGCGGCCUACUGGGCACCAACUGACGCUGAGGCUCGAAAGUGUGGGUAGCAAACAGGAUUAGAUACCCUGGUAGUCCACACCGUAAACGAUGAUUACUAGGUGUUGGAGGAUUGACCCCUUCAGUGCCGCAGUUAACACAAUAAGUAAUCCACCUGGGGAGUACGACCGCAAGGUUGAAACUCAAAGGAAUUGACGGGGGCCCGCACAAGCAGUGGAGUAUGUGGUUUAAUUCGACGCAACGCGAGGAACCUUACCAAGUCUUGACAUCCUGCGACGAUGCUGGAAACAGCAUUUUCCUUCGGGACGCAGAGACAGGUGGUGCAUGGUUGUCGUCAGCUCGUGUCGUGAGAUGUUGGGUUAAGUCCCGCAACGAGCGCAACCCUUAUGGUCAGUUACUACGCAAGAGGACUCUGGCCAGACUGCCGUUGACAAAACGGAGGAAGGUGGGGAUGACGUCAAAUCAUCAUGCCCUUUAUGACUUGGGCUACACACGUACUACAAUGGCGUUAAACAAAGAGAAGCAAGACCGCGAGGUGGAGCAAAACUCAGAAACAACGUCCCAGUUCGGACUGCAGGCUGCAACUCGCCUGCACGAAGUCGGAAUUGCUAGUAAUCGUGGAUCAGCAUGCCACGGUGAAUACGUUCCC